CAGCAGCCGCGGUAAUACAGAGGGUGCGAGCGUUAAUCGGAUUUACUGGGCGUAAAGCGUGCGUAGGCGGCUUUUUAAGUCGGAUGUGGAAUCCCUGAGCUUAACUUAGGAAUUGCAUUCGAUACUGGGAAGCUAGAGUAUGGGAGAGGAUGGUAGAAUUCCAGGUGUAGCGGUGAAAUGCGUAGAGAUCUGGAGGAAUACCGAUGGCGAAGGCAGCCAUCUGGCCUAAUACUGACGCUGAGGUACGAAAGCAUGGGGAGCAAACAGGAUUAGAUACCCCAGUAGUCCCUGUCUCUUAUAA
This 301-nucleotide ribosomal RNA is filed under the name uncultured bacterium. RNAcentral's name for it is "partial 16S ribosomal RNA". It matches the Rfam family "Bacterial small subunit ribosomal RNA", at positions 509 to 809 of the family's 1533-position model. The record is from RNAcentral.